GACGAACGCUGGCGGCGUGCUUAACACAUGCAAGUCGAACGGAAAGGCCCUGCUUUUGUGGGGUGCUCGAGUGGCGAACGGGUGAGUAACACGUGAGUAACCUGCCCUUGACUUUGGGAUAACUUCAGGAAACUGGGGCUAAUACCGGAUAGGAGCUCCUGCUGCAUGGUGGGGGUUGGAAAGUUUCGGCGGUUGGGGAUGGACUCGCGGCUUAUCAGCUUGUUGGUGGGGUAGUGGCUUACCAAGGCUUUGACGGGUAGCCGGCCUGAGAGGGUGACCGGCCACAUGGGGACUGAGAUACGGACCAGACUCCUACGGGAGGCAGCAGUGGGGAAUAUUGCACAAGGGGCGGAAGCCUGAUGCAGCAACGCCGCGUGCGGGAUGACGGCCUUCGGGUUGUAAACCGCUUUCGCCUGUGACGAAGCGUGAGUGACGGUAAUGGGUAAAGAAGCACCGGCUAACUACGUG
Molecule: ribosomal RNA, 468 nt
Filed under: uncultured bacterium
Lineage: Bacteria
Description: partial 16S ribosomal RNA
Rfam family: Bacterial small subunit ribosomal RNA
Source: RNAcentral